Molecule: microRNA precursor, 168 nt
Filed under: Triticum aestivum (bread wheat)
Lineage: Eukaryota; Viridiplantae; Streptophyta; Magnoliopsida; Poales; Poaceae
Description: miR1122b stem-loop (tae-MIR1122b)
Source: miRBase by way of RNAcentral
UUAUACUCCCUCUGUUCCUAAAUGUAAGUCUUUUUAGAGAUUUCACUGCAAAAUACAUACGGAUGUAUAUGGACAUAUUUUAGAGUAUAGAUUCACGCAUUUUGAUCCGUAUCUAGUCCAUAGUGAAAUCCCUAAAAAGACUUAUAUGUAGGAACGGAGGGAGUAAAU